AUUGAACGCUGGCGGAAUGCUUUACACAUGCAAGUCGAACGGCAGCACGGACUUCGGUCUGGUGGCGCGUGGCGAACGGGUGAGUAAUGUAUCGGAACGUGCCCAGUCGUGGGGGAUAACGUAGUGAAAAUUACGCUAAUACCGCAUACGAUCUAUGGAUGAAAGCGGGGGAUCGCAAGACCUCGCGCGAUUGGAGCGGCCGAUAUCAGAUUAGGUAGUUGGUGGGGUAAAGGCCCACCAAGCCAACGAUCUGUAGCGGGUCUGAGAGGACGACCAGCCACACUGGGACUGAGACACGGCCCAGACUCCUACGGGAGGCAGCAGUGGGGAAUUUUGGACAAUGGACGCAAGUCUGAUCCAGCCAUUCCGCGUGCAGGAUGAAGGCCCUCGGGUUGUAAACUGCUUUUGUACAGAACGAAAAGGCUCUGGUUAAUACCUAGGGCUCAUGACGGUACUGUAAGAAUAAGCACCGGCUAACUACGUGCCAGCAGCCGCCGUAA
RNAcentral lists this ribosomal RNA (500 nucleotides) under uncultured bacterium. RNAcentral's name for it is "partial 16S ribosomal RNA". It matches the Rfam family "Bacterial small subunit ribosomal RNA", at positions 30 to 523 of the family's 1533-position model. The record is from RNAcentral.